Molecule: transfer RNA, 84 nt
Filed under: Breznakibacter xylanolyticus
Lineage: Bacteria; Pseudomonadati; Bacteroidota; Bacteroidia; Marinilabiliales; Marinilabiliaceae
Also listed under: 3 other names
Description: Cytophaga xylanolytica tRNA
Rfam family: tRNA
About the family: Transfer RNA (tRNA) molecules are approximately 80 nucleotides in length. Their secondary structure includes four short double-helical elements and three loops (D, anti-codon, and T loops).
Source: Rfam by way of RNAcentral
GCCCAGAUGGCGGAAUUGGUAGACGCGCUGGUCUCAAACACCAGUAGGUUCACCCCUGUGCCGGUUCGAUCCCGGCUCUGGGUA